This 1901-nucleotide long non-coding RNA is filed under the name Lathyrus oleraceus (garden pea). RNAcentral describes it as "Pisum sativum (pea) long non-coding RNA (PSAT_LNC002028)". Lineage: Eukaryota; Viridiplantae; Streptophyta; Magnoliopsida; Fabales; Fabaceae. The record is from RNAcentral.
AAAUGAAGGAAAAAGAAAUUCACCGGUUUCGACGUUCUGAUGCGUUGUUCUAGGUGACAAAUUCCUUCCUCUUCUCUGGUUUCAAUUUGGAUUUCUUCUUCUCAUUCUUCUGUACUCAAACUCUGGUUUCUGUAGAAUCAAGGAAGGCUUUAACAGACGGUCCCUUUACCCUGUGAUGACUCGCGUGGUGCGGUGUGACGGAUGUCGCAAUUGGAAUUGUGCAUCGAAUUCACAAGUUUCCUUUACUCCCUCUUCGCGCGCCUACGCUUUCUGUUUUCAACUCCAAAGCUGGUUUUGCAGGUGGCGAGAAUGAACCCAAGAUCGAAAGAAUUUCUUUCGUUCUCCAUUUGAGGCAGGUAUUGAAUUCUUCUUCUCUUCACCUUUACGCUUCUUCUUCUCUUCUUUACUUGUUGUGAGCUUGUGGUUGUUAAGCGAUUUCGAUUGUGACUCGUCGCUUCUGUUACAGGGUGGUCCUUUACCGAUGCCGGAUGAAGAAGUGAAGGCGCCCCUCGAAGUGAAGAAGAAUUUCAGAGUUGUAGAAUUCGAUUUGCAGGAUGAAAUUCGGUUCGUCGUCGCUGGAACUUAGUUGCAGAACCAGGAGAGAUUGAGAGAAUCGGUAUGGAGUUUUCAAGGGAGAAUGAAGAAAGGAAAUUGUUGCAGAAUGAGGAAGAAGAAAUUGAAGGAGUGAUUGAGGAUGAAUAAGAUUACAAUAAAAAAUCAUGAACCCCCUGAAUGGUGAGUGCAGUAGCCUUUUUAUAGAGUUUUGAGUUCAAUUUAGUUAUGAAAGUCUCCUUGAAAUGCACAUGAAAUCAACUAAUUAGUUACAAAUUCCAAUUGAGUUGGUUAGAAGUUAGUUUUAGUUGUGAGAGUUAGUUAUUCUGUUAUAAGCGCUAGCUGGCUUUGUUGGGUUAGUUAUAGGUUAAUGAAAUCGGUUAGUCAGUUAUUUGGAAAUUCUGUUAUGAUUGUUUGGUUAGUUGCAAAACGGUUUGGAGGUUAGAACUUGUUAUCUCUUGAGUUAAGUUUCAGUUGGUAUUUUGCAGUUUGUGUUCAAAUUGUUUUUGUUUCCUGUAAGUUGUUAGUUCUAAAUCAGUUGAAAAUUAUUUGGAGUUAAUUAGUGUAUGAUUUAAGACCUAUUAGUAAUCAGUGUUAAUAGAAUGUUAGACUGUUAGAAGAAAUUAUGAUAUGAAUACUGUUAUGACAGUUGGCAAAAAUGGUUAGAGCCCGCCUGUGAGCUCAUGUUUUUGAUGUUAUACCGUUGUAUUAGAAGUAUUGUUAACUUUCGUUACUUCAUUAAAAACCUGUUACGAACGUCACGAAUUUAUACAUGUCAAUAAAGAACGGAAUGGACCGAAAGGUAUGUGGACCUUGGCAUGAUGAUUGAUUGUGCUUGCAAUUGAUAUCAAUGUGAUUUUGUGCAGGGUUUGCCAUUUCUACAGGUUGGUUGUUGUAGUUUUAAGGUCUUUUUCGACUGAGCUGCUCUCACCUGUAAGAAUAGCUUGAUCAACACGUACUUCAUUACUUAGCAAUUCAAUCAUCUUCAUAUCAGCAGGAAUUUUGCACCCCACAGAAACUUCCACAAUAUCUCCAGGAACAAGUUCAGUUGCAGGAAGUAUGGAAAAACAACCACUUCGCAAGACAGUUGCCACAUCAGCUUGAUAAGCAGGUAAUUCCUCAAGAGCUUUUUUGGCAUUUGUUUCUGUGAUCACUCCCACAGCUGCAUUUGCAGCCAAUAUCAUCAGAGUAACAGAAGGUUCCAGAAACGCCAUCAAGCCCGUUUCACCAUUAAUUAAUGCCAGAAUAAAUUAUAUAAGAGCAGAUGCAAUUAGUAUCUUCACAAGCAAAUCAUCAAACUGCUUCAAAACCAAUUUCCAAAAUGGAGCUCUGUGAUCUUCAUGCAGCAC